GACGAACGCUGGCGGCAUGCCUAAUACAUGCAAGUUGAACGAUGAUAUUCUCUGCUUGCAGAGAAUUGAAGAGUAGCGAACGGGUGAGUAACACGUGGGGAACCUGCCCAUGAGAGGGGGAUAACAUUCGGAAACGGAUGCUAAUACCGCAUAAUGCUUUGGACCGCCUGGUCCAGAGACGAAAGACGGCUUUUGCUGUCACUCAUGGAUGGCCCCGCGCCGUAUUAGCUAGUUGGUGAGGUAAUGGCUCACCAAAGCUGUGAUACGUAGCCGACCUGAGAGGGUGAUCGGCCACACUGGGACUGAGACACGGCCCAGACUCCUACGGGAGGCAGCAGUAGGGAAUCUUCCACAAUGGGCGAAAGCCUGAUGGAGCAAUGCCGCGUGAAUGAAGAAGGUCUUCGGAUCGUAAAGUUCUGUUAUUAGAGAAGAACAAGUCAAGGAGUAACUGUCUUGACUUUGACGGUACCUAACCAGAAAGUCACGGCUAACUACGUG
This 498-nucleotide ribosomal RNA is filed under the name uncultured bacterium. RNAcentral's name for it is "partial 16S ribosomal RNA". It matches the Rfam family "Bacterial small subunit ribosomal RNA", at positions 28 to 507 of the family's 1533-position model. The record is from RNAcentral.